Molecule: ribosomal RNA, 253 nt
Filed under: uncultured bacterium
Lineage: Bacteria
Description: partial 16S ribosomal RNA
Rfam family: Bacterial small subunit ribosomal RNA
Source: RNAcentral
UACGGAGGUCCCGAGCGUUGUUCGGAUUCACUGGGCGUAAAGGGUGCGUAGGCGGUGUGGUAAGUCGGCUGUGAAAUCUCCGGGCUCAACCCGGAGAUGGCAUUGGAAACUACCUUGCUGGAGGAUUUGAGGGGGGAUUGGAAUACUUGGUGUAGCAGUGAAAUGCGUAGAUAUCAAGUGGAACACCAGUGGCGAAGGCGGCAUCCUGGACCAAUAUUGACGCUGAGGAGCGAAAGCCAGGGGAGCAAACGGG